Molecule: long non-coding RNA, 5257 nt
Filed under: Lathyrus oleraceus (garden pea)
Lineage: Eukaryota; Viridiplantae; Streptophyta; Magnoliopsida; Fabales; Fabaceae
Description: Pisum sativum (pea) long non-coding RNA (PSAT_LNC036113)
Source: RNAcentral
AUUAUCCAAAACUGUGUUGUUUAAAUAGAGAGAAAUGUAUGAAUACAAAGAAAAUUGCAGAGGCACACUGAUUUACAGAUUUACUGUCUUGAACGGAUAAGUGAAUGAUAGAACUAGCAGAAAAAAUAUAUGAAACAAUUUAAAGGAAUGGUGAAAUGAAUUGUCUUUUUGUAUUAAUAGAAGGAAAGGUAAAUAGCUAAAGUGUAUAACCAGAGCAGAGCUCCUCCAGAGAAUACAAUCUCAUAAUACAAAUGAUAGCAAUAAUCGUGUGUACCCUAACAAACACCACCCUCUCCCAUAUAUCUCCCACUACUAACAACCUUCCUAAGAAUCAAGGAUUUCCUUUGCCACAUCACUAACAGAAUUGUUCCCCACUUUCUUACCCCUGCGAACAUAGACUCUCCAUACAGCAGGAUUGGGUCUUUCAUUAGUAACAGGCCCAAUAGUAGUUGUUAUAUCAUUACCUUCCCCAGGAACAACAGCCUUGUCCUCAAGGCUGAGAGAAGGGAACUGACUUUUUAAAACUGACUCAUCCUCCCAAGUUGUGUCUUCUACAACUCUUCCCUUCCAACGCACCAACCAUUGUCGCACCCGCUGUCCAUUUUUCGUAAUUAGCCUUGAAGCCAACAAUUCUUCCGGUUCUUCUAAGUGUUCUGGCUCUAUCUCGAGCCCUUCCGAUAGUUGAGGUUCAGCAGCAUACUCCCCAAUAGCCUUCUUAAGUUGAGAUAUAUGAAACACCGCAUGUACUCGACUUCCUUCAGGAAGUUUCAACUUAUAUGACAUUGCUUCUAUUUUUUUCUGGAUAGGAAAAGGUCCAAAAUACUAUGGAGCAAGUUUCUGAUUAAUCCUUUGAGAGAUUGUUUGUUGCCUAUGGGGUCGGAGCUUCAAGAAUACCCAUCCACCCACCUCAAAUGAAUAAGCCUUUCUUUUCUUGUCCGCGUAUCUCUUCAUCUGCUCUUGAGCCCGAGUCAAAUGAUACUUCAAUUGACGUAGAGCCUCAUCCCGAUCAACCAACUCAGCUGCCACAGCCCGAGUCAAAUGAUACUUCAAUUGACGUAGAGCCUCAUCCCGAUCAACCAACUCAGCUGCCACUGCCUCUACCUUAGUUUCUCCCUGUAGAAAUCUCACCACAGUAGGUGGUUUUCUUCCAUACAUCGCUUCAAAUGGUGUCGUACCCAUAGACACAUGGAAUGUGGUAUUAUACCCCAAUUCGGCCCACAGAAUCCAUUGUGACCACUCCUUCGGUUGUUCUGAUGCAAAACAACGAAGAUAUGCUUCUAGGCACCGAUUUACAACCUCCGUUUGCCCAUCCAUCUCCGGGUGAUAUGAAGAACUCAUACUCAACAUAGUCCCCUACAAACGGAAUAACUCUUUCCAGAAUAAGCUAACAAAUAAGGGGUCACGAUCACUAACAAUAGAUUAUGGAACACCAUGGAGACACACCACCUCCUUGGUAAAAAUCUCAACCACUUUUCUUGUUGUAUAUGGAUGCUUUAAGGGAAUAAAAUGUCCAUACUUAGAUAGUAUAUCCACUACUACAAAAAUAGCCUCAUACCCCUGUGAUUUCAGAAGACUAGUUAUGAAAUCCAUUGAGAUGUCCUCCCAAACUCUCUCCGGAAUUGGCAGUGGCUGUAACAAACCCAUGGGUGACGACGCCGAAUACUUUUGACGUUGGCACACAUCACAACUUUGCACAAAUGUUUGAACUGACUUCCUCAUUCCUACGCAAUAGAGGUUACCAGCUAAUCUCCGAUAUGUACGCAAAAACCCCGAGUGACCCCCAGUACUGGAUGAAUGAAACUCCUGCAACAUUAAGGGUAUGCAUUUAGAUUUUGCAGAUAGCACCAUCCUACCAUGAUAGAAUAGUCUCCCUUUGACUAAUUGGAAACCCGGUUGAGAUGUAGGAUUCACAUGCAAAUUAGCCAUUACUUUCUUUAAAUAAGGAUUAUUCCUUACUUCAUGUUGGAUUUGUUGCUCCUGCAUACAUACUAGGAAUGACAUUAUUCCUUUUAGUUCCACUUCUUCAUGCAUUCUUGAAAGGGCAUCAACAGCUUUAUUUUCUGGCCCGGGUUUGUACACUACCUCAAAAUGAUAACCCAAUAGUUUGGCUAUCCAAUUAUGUUGAUCAGCAGUAGUGAUACGUUGCUGGAGCAAGUGUCAUAAACUUUUUUGAUCGGAAUACACUACAAACCUCCUUCCUAACAAAUAAGGACGCCAAUAUUGAACGGCCAACACCAAUGCCAUCAACUCCUUCUCAUACGUCGACUUACUCAAAUUAUUCUUAGAUAAGGCUUUGUUGAAGUAAGCUAUGGGUUUCUUUUUCUGCAUUAGUACCGCGCCUAUUCCUCUCCCGGAUGCAUCACACUCAAUCUCGAAGGGUUAUGCAAAAUUCGGAAGGGUUAAAACUGGAUCUUGAAUCAUAACCCUUUUUAGAUUCUCAAAUGCCUUCAACUCUUUUGGUCCCCAAUGAAACCCUUCCUUCUUGGUUAACUCCAUUAGCGGUUUAACUAUCUUACCAUAACCCACAAUGAAUUUCCGGUAAUACCCUGUCAGCCCCAAAAAACCCCUCACCCCUUUGACAUUAUGAGGAGCUGGGCAUUCCAAAAUGCUAUUAAUUUUUUCUGGGUCCACUGCCACCCCCUGUUUAGAUAUUACAUGACCUAAAUAUUCAACCUUCCUGCUAGCAAAAUUGCACUUCUUUUGGUUAACGACAAAACAAUGGUGUUGCAAAAUCUCUAAUACUUGGGACAAGUGUGCUAAAUGUUCCUUCCACCCCUUACUGUAGACUAGAAUAUCAUCAAAGAAAACUAAGACAAACUUGCAAAGAUAUGGCUUUAAAAUCUGAUUCAUGGUGGAUUGGAAGGUAGCUGGAGCGUUUGUUAAUCCAAAGGGCAUUACUAGAAACUCAUUGUGUCCUUCAUGAGUCCAGAAUGCCGUUUUUUGCACGUCUUCUUCCUUCACUCUGAUUUGGGGAUAACCGGAUUUCAAGUCAAGUUUGGAGAAAUACUUGGUUCCAUGCAACUCAUCUAAUAAUUCAUCCACCACCGGUAUCGGGUAGCGAUCUGGAACUGAAACUUUAUUCAACUCCCUAUAAUCAAUACACAUCCUCCAUGAGCUAUCUUUUUUUUACUAGAAUGACAGGGCUUGAAAAUGCGCUUGAACUGUUUCGAAUGAUACCUUGACUCAACAUACUCCUAACUUGUUUUUCGAUCUCCUCUUUGUGGUGAUGAGAGUAACGAUACGGUCUUACGCUUACUGGUCCAGCAUCCUUUUGUAACUCAAUGGCAUGAUUAAUUUCUCGUUUAGGUGGUAGCCCUGUAUUUUCUUCAAAAACUUCCUUGAAUUUGCUCAACAAUUCAUUAAGCUCCUGCUUUUACACCUCGGUCAGUUCUUGUACUUCAUUUGUUGGUACCACUUCUUCUUCUAACAAACUGUGCAAGGAGUCCAUCGGUGCAUGAGAUAUGUUAUUGGUUGACACCUCUUUGGUAGUGAAGAAUUGACCAUGUAAUUCCACCCUUUUUCCUUCCCAUAGAAAACUAAUGGUCAUCUUCUCCCAGUCAAAAGUUACUUUUCCAAACCGUUGCAACCAAGCCACCCACUUCCCCCCAAUAUCAUAUCUAGGUCACCCAAUUGAGGACAUAAGCAUCAACACUGUGGUAAAGUCAUUCAAACACACUCUCCAAUUUUCUACAUCUUCCUCUUGUCGAUACUCUGUGACCAUCACCCAACUCACUCCCAUGGAUCUUCCUUGCUCACAUUUACCCUAAAAGCAGUGGCCACAUGAGGUGAGACAAAAUUUGUGACUGGCACCGCUGUCAAUUAAAAUCAUAAUUGAGACCCCCUUCAAGCUUCCUUGGAGGCGCAAAGUGGUAGGAGGGGUAUUGUUCGACUUAAUGUUUGUUUCAGUAAUACCAAAUAACCCCAUAUAGCUUCAAUCUAGCACCUCUUCCUCAUCUUCCUUAACUUUGAUGGCUAUCACCUCACCUUCCUCAUUAAUAGUUUCAUCAUCUCCCAAAUCACCAACCUGAGUUGUUUCUCAACACACUAAUGAAGAGGAUGAUACUUUUUCCAUAUCGGAAACACAACCCUUAUGCUUUUCGCUCCAUCAUCUCAGAAUACGGCAAGUGCUUGAGGCCGCGGUUGCGUUCUCCUCCAUAUCUCCUUCCUUCGUCACCUCUAGAUCUGGUUGUGUUGGUGUUUGCAUUCAUAUUCCCAUUUGGGUUAGAUGGUGAAGAACCCGUUUUACUUUGCACCGAUCCAGCAGAAUAAUUAGUAGACCCAUUUCCCACUCGGGUCGAACCUGGGUUAUGUUGAGACCCAGAACCUAUUUUCCAACUAAGCCCAUAUCCUCCUGACCCACUUCCCUUCCAAUUACGGGGCCCACUAACACUUACUCUUGGCAACAACGACCCACUCAUCUCCGUCUUCACAUCAUGAGCGAUCUUCAUCGCCUAAACCCGUGAACGUGGAUUCAUUGUUCGAACCCUCAGACGAAUAUCUGUUUUGAGUCCUCCCAUGAAAUACCCCAAGUACUGCGCCUCCGGUAACCUCCCUACCUGCGACGAACAUAUUCAAAGGUGGUGAUGUAUUCGUCAACCGUUCCAGACUGUUGUAAAUCCUUCAUUUCCUCAACAGGGUUAUCGCUUUAUCUUCCCCCAUAUCUCUCAAUUAAAUCCUGUUUUAGCUUCAACCAUGUCAAAUCGUCCUCUAUCUCCCUCAACAAAUUGAACCAGUGGAUUGUUGCUCCUUCCAUGCUUAGUUUUGCCAAUCGGACCUUCACCUCCUCCAAUGUACCCUGAACUUCGAAAUACGUCUCAGCACGUGUGACCCAACCCACAGGAUCGUCACCAUCAAACGAUGGCAACUCCACCUUCUUCACCGCCAUCUUAUACUCUGUCACAAACUCCUCCAAAAACAUAGGUCGUUCCACUGACUGUCGUCGCUCCCACAGUUUCGUAAACUCACUCAUCAUGGUAUCACGAAACUCUUGCAUCAUCAUCUCACAAAAAUCUCUCAACUCAUGACGUACAGAAUUCUCCACCGUCGAGAGCCUUUCUUCUACUAUUCUCAUUUGAUCUGACAACUUAGGUGGCAUGUACUGGACAAGAAUUCAUUGGUACCUCUCAAAAAUCCGGUAGGUCGGACCAAUGAUAGAACUAGCAGAAAAAAUAUAUGAAACAAUUUAAAGGAAUGGUGAAAUGAAUUGUCUUUUCGUAUUAAUAGAAGGAAAGGUAAAUAGCUAAAGUGUAUAACCAGA